GACGAACGCUGGCGGCGUGCCUAAUACAUGCAAGUAGAACGCUGAAGGAGGAGCUUGCUUCUCUGGAUGAGUUGCGAACGGGUGAGUAACGCGUAGGUAACCUGCCUGGUAGCGGGGGAUAACUAUUGGAAACGAUAGCUAAUACCGCAUAAGAGUAGAUGUUGCAUGACAUUUGCUUAAAAGGUGCAAUUGCAUCACUACCAGAUGGACCUGCGUUGUAUUAGCUAGUAGGUGGGGUAACGGCUUACCAAGGCGACGAUACAUAGCCGACCUGAGAGGGGGAUCGGCCACACUGGGACUGAGACACGGCCCAGACUCCUACGGGAGGCAGCAGUAGGGAAUCUUCGGCAAUGGACGGAAGUCUGACCGAGCAACGCCGCGUGAGGGAAGAAGGUUUUCGGAUCGUAAAGCUCUGUUGUAAGAGAAGAACGAGUGUGAGAGUGGAAAGUUCACACUGUGACGGUAUCUUACCAGAAAGGGACGGCUAACUACGUG
RNAcentral lists this ribosomal RNA (495 nucleotides) under uncultured bacterium. Its description in RNAcentral is "partial 16S ribosomal RNA". It matches the Rfam family "Bacterial small subunit ribosomal RNA", at positions 28 to 507 of the family's 1533-position model. The record is from RNAcentral.